Non-coding RNA from Dipodomys ordii (Ord's kangaroo rat), 70 nucleotides. The record is from Rfam. NCBI's taxonomy places the organism in Eukaryota, Metazoa, Chordata, Mammalia, Rodentia, Heteromyidae.
GGGAAGGUAGCUCAGUGGUAGAGUGCUUGCCUUGCAUGCAUGAAGCCCUGGGUUUGAUUCCUCAGCACCA